RNAcentral lists this ribosomal RNA (1032 nucleotides) under Bacillus cereus. RNAcentral's name for it is "bacterial SSU rRNA". It matches the Rfam family "Bacterial small subunit ribosomal RNA", at positions 533 to 1533 of the family's 1533-position model. Lineage: Bacteria; Bacillati; Bacillota; Bacilli; Caryophanales; Bacillaceae. The record is from RNAcentral.
GGGGUACGUUAUCUGGCACUAUUGGGCGUAAGCGCGCGCACGUGGUUUCUUAAGUCUGAUGUGAAAGCCCACGGCUCACCCGUGGAGGGUCAUUGGAAACUGGGAGACUUGAGUGCAGAAGAGGAAAGAGGAAUUCCAUGUGUAGCGGUGAAAUGCGUAGAGAUAUGGAGGAACACCAGUGGCGAAGGCGACUUUCUGGUCUGUAACUGACACUGAGGCGCGAAAGCGUGGGGAGCAAACAGGAUUAGAUACCCUGGUAGUCCACGCCGUAAACGAUGAGUGCUAAGUGUUAGAGGGUUUCCGCCCUUUAGUGCUGAAGUUAACGCAUUAAGCACUCCGCCUGGGGAGUACGGCCGCAAGGCUGAAACUCAAAGGAAUUGACGGGGGCCCGCACAAGCGGUGGAGCAUGUGGUUUAAUUCGAAGCAACGCGAAGAACCUUACCAGGUCUUGACAUCCUCUGACAACCCUAGAGAUAGGGCUUCUCCUUCGGGAGCAGAGUGACAGGUGGUGCAUGGUUGUCGUCAGCUCGUGUCGUGAGAUGUUGGGUUAAGUCCCGCAACGAGCGCAACCCUUGAUCUUAGUUGCCAUCAUUUAGUUUGGGCACUCUAAAGGUGACUGCCCGGUGACAAACCGGGAGGAAGGUGGGGGAUGACGUCAAAUCAUCAUGCCCCUUAUGACCUGGGCUACACACGUGCUACAAUGGACGGUACAAAGAGCUGCAAGACCGCGAGGUGGAGCUAAUCUCAUAAAACCGUUCUCAGUUCGGAUUGUAGGCUGCAACUCGCCUACAUGAAGCUGGAAUCGCUAGUAAUCGCGGAUCAGCAUGCGCGGUGGAAAUACCCUUUCCCGGGGCCUUUGUACACACCCGCCCCGUCACACCACGAAGAGUUUGUAACACCCCGAAGUCCGGUGGGGGUAACCUUUUUUGGAGCCAGCCGGCCUAAGGUGGGACAGAUGAUUGGGGUGAAUCUAGAAAGAAGCCCCCCCCAUACAUAUAUAAAAGAGUCUCAUUUAAACACCCCGCUUUUUUA